This 497-nucleotide ribosomal RNA is filed under the name uncultured bacterium. RNAcentral's name for it is "partial 16S ribosomal RNA". It matches the Rfam family "Bacterial small subunit ribosomal RNA", at positions 28 to 507 of the family's 1533-position model. The record is from RNAcentral.
GAUGAACGCUGGCGGCGUGCCUAACACAUGCAAGUCGAGCGAAAAGAUGAGGACCUUGCUCGUCGCACGUGAGCGGCGGAUGGGGGAGUCACACGUGUAUACCCUACCUAUAAGACUGGGAUAACUUCGCGAAAGCGGAUCCAACACCGGACAAUAUAGUGAACCGCAGGGUCCGCUAGUCAUAGACGGGUUUGCUGUCACGACUAGAGGGAUCCGCGCCGCAUUAGCUAGUUGGUACGGUAACGGCCUACCAAGGCUACGAUGCGUAGCCGAUCUGAGAGGGUGAUCGGCCACACUGGAACUGGGACACGGUCCAGACUCCUACGGGAGGCAGCAGUAGGGAAUCUUCGGCAAUGGGCGAAAGCCUGACGCAGCAACGCCGCGUGUGUGAUGAAGGUCUUCGGAUCGUAAAGCUCUGUUGUUAGGGAAGAACAACUUUGUGCGUAAACAUGCAGGUGUUGACGGUACCGGAUCAAAAAGCACCGGCUAACUACGUG